Molecule: ribosomal RNA, 119 nt
Filed under: Lepisosteus oculatus (spotted gar)
Lineage: Eukaryota; Metazoa; Chordata; Actinopteri; Semionotiformes; Lepisosteidae
Source: RNAcentral
GCCAGCAGCUAUAUCACUCUGCAACUCACAACUGGCAACCCACUGAAGCUUAGCAUGUGUGAGCCUGGUCAGUACCUGGAUGGGAGACCUCCUGGGAAAAACUAAGGUUGCUGCUGGAA